UUUUUAUUUUACGGCGUUCCGAGAGAAUGCACGGGGCACACAUUAUUAUUAUUAUCAUUAUACACGCGCGAGCAUUACAUAAUAUGUAUGGGUGCUUCUAAAAAUGCAUAGGUAUACAGAGUGAUUCUUUUAUUGCGAACCGAACGAUAUCUUAUGGCAAAUAUUGUCUGAUUUCCAAUAAACCAAAACAAAUCGUACUGUGUAUAAUAUUGCAGUCCAAGGUUUUCAUCUUCUCAUCUGACUUAAGCACAUGUUGCUUUUUACGACAAUUGGCCGCCGUUAUAAAAUCAUUGUUGAUGUGGAAAAAAUAAUAGCUUGGACGAUAAAACGUCUACAUUUAGUCUUGGAAAUGACAAACUUUGUUCGAGACACGAUCAACAUUGUAAGACUAUUACUCUAAUAAAACCGUGUUGGGUAGUGGGUACAGAGCUUGAUUUCGGAGCCUUGAAGAAAAUUACAGUACUCGUUAGAUAUAUUUAAUUAUGUGUACAUACUAUUCUCCUUCAA
Molecule: long non-coding RNA, 507 nt
Organism: Melanaphis sacchari
Lineage: Eukaryota; Metazoa; Arthropoda; Insecta; Hemiptera; Aphididae
Exons: 3
Source: RefSeq, a predicted model, not a curated record